GUGGCGGAUAGCUCAGUGGUAGAGCACCAAAAUAUCCUUGUUCAUAACUAAUCCGCAAGGGUCGAAGAAUUAGGGUUAUCGACUUCAGAUCGGGUUGUCGGGGGUUCGAGUCCCCCUCCGCUACACCA
Molecule: transfer RNA, 128 nt
Filed under: Pseudanabaena sp. CRU_2_10
Lineage: Bacteria; Bacillati; Cyanobacteriota; Cyanophyceae; Pseudanabaenales; Pseudanabaenaceae
Also listed under: 1 other name
Description: tRNA-OTHER
Source: RNAcentral